GGCCACAUGGUGAGCACAACACAAUAUAUUCUUUUGCCUUUUACUAAAGACUACUGUGUGCUAGCCACUUGAAGCGGCAUAUGCCUAUUUUUGAGGGUCCCUUUCCUUUUCAGAAAGUGC
This is a small nuclear RNA of Magnolia sinica, 120 nucleotides long. RefSeq annotates it as U5 spliceosomal RNA. The transcript has a single exon. NCBI's taxonomy places the organism in Eukaryota, Viridiplantae, Streptophyta, Magnoliopsida, Magnoliales, Magnoliaceae. The record is from RefSeq and is a predicted model, not a curated record.